GCCAGGCUCAGGGCUGUUUCUCCGCGGAUGGCCUCGUGGGCCGGCUGAGAUGCGCAUGCGCGCGGGUGCCUAACGGCUCUGCUGGGCUAGGUGCUCCUCCGAGCGGCUGGAGACUGGAGUGUCCCUGACGGAGGUUGCGGCUGGACCUGGUUACGUGCUGGUGCUGUGCUCCAGAGCGGCAGAAAACGAGUGGGAGCUGAGGUGUCUUGAAGCCGUCCCUCAGCCUGGGAGAAGAUCUUUGGCUUCAGGAUGGGGGUCAGGGAGUCGUUCCUGGGGGCCUGCAGGAGACGCAUGGCUACCUGGAGGGAGAAUCGUGGCAAGGAUGGCUUCUCAAAUCCUGGGUACCGAGUCCGGCAGAAGGAUCUGGGCAUGAUCCACAAAGCUGCCAUCGCAGGUGACCUGAACAAGGUGAUGGAGAGCAUCUUGCUCAGGCUGAAUGACGUGAACGACAGGGACAAGAAGAACAGGACUGCUCUACAUUUGGCGUGUGCCCAUCGCCGUCCGGGAGUGGUAGCUGACUUGGUGGCCAGAAAAUGCCAGCUUAACCUCACUGACAGUAAAAACAGGACAGCUCUGAUCAAGGCUGUACAAUGUCAAGAAGAAGUUUGUGCAUCCAUCCUGCUGGAACAUGGUGCCGACCCAAAUGUUAGAGAUAUGUACGGCAACACUGCUCUGCACUAUGCCAUUGAUAAUGAGAAUAUAUCAAUGGCAGGGAAACUGCUUGCAUAUGGUGCAGAUAUUGAAGCAAGAAGCCAGGGUGAACAUACAUCACUUUUGCUCGCUGUAAAUAGGAAAAAAGAGCAAAUGGUGGCAUUUUUGUUGAAGAAAAAACCAGAUUUAACUGCAAUAGAUAAUUUUGGAAGAACAGCCCUCAUACUUGCUGCUCGUAAUGGAUCAACAAGUAUAGUCUACCAGCUUCUUCAGCACAAUAUUGAUGUCUUUUGCCAAGAUAUAUCUGGAUGGACUGCAGAAGACUAUGCUGUUGCUUCUAAAUUUCAAGCCAUUCGUGGACUAAUUUCUGAAUAUAAAGCAAACAAGAGACGUAAAAGUCUUCAAAAUAGCGAUCCAGAACAAAACUUAGAAAUGACAUCAGAGGGAGAGCAAGAAAGGCUUGAAGGAUGUGAAAGUAGCCAGCCACAGGUUGAAGAAAAAAUGAAGAAAUGCAGAAAUAAGAAAACGGAAGUGUCAAGAAACGUACAUGCUGAUGACAGUGACAAUUAUAAUGACGAUGUUGAUGAAUUAAUUCACAAAAUAAAGAACAGAAAACCUGAUAAUCAUCAAUUUCCCGAGGAGGAGAAUGACAAGUUUGAUAGGCUUGCAAGGAAAACCUUUAAUGAAAAGAGCAAGGUUAAAAGCCAAAUAUAUUUCAGGGAUGACCUUAAUGACAUAACUGAGUCAUCUGAAAAAACCUCAGAGGAUGAUGAGUUGCCUUACUCUGAUGAUAAGAAUUUUAUGUUACUCAUUGAACAACGUGGAAUGGACUGUAAAGAUUUUGUUAGCCUGUUGAAAAUCAAGAAUGCAACAGCUUCAUGUGAAAGAUCAAUAGAGGAUAAAAAAUGUUACUGUGAACGACUUAAAGUAAAAUUUCAAAAAAUGAAAAAUAAUAUUAUCGUACUACAAAAGGUACUAUCUGAAACAGACAAAACCAAAUCACAGUUAGAGCAUCAGAAUCUUGAAAGGAAGAAAAAGCUCUGUAAUUUGAGAUUUAUCUUACAAGAAGAAGAAGAAGAAAGAAUAAAGGCUGAAGAGUUGUUUGAAAAAGAUACAGAAGAGUUAAAAAUAAUGGAAGAGCAAUAUGUGACACAAACUGAAGUGAAACAACUUAAACUGACUCUCAGAUCAUUGGAAGUGGAAUUGAAGACUGUAAGAAGUAACUCAAAUCAGAAUUCUCAUACUCAUGGAAAAGAAAGAGACCUGUGGCAGGAAAAUCACUUGAUUCGGGAUGAAAUUGCCAGACUUGGGCUGGAAAUUGACACAAUAAAACAUCAGAACCAGGAAACUAAAAAUAAAUAUUUCAAAAAUAUUGAAAUUAUAAAGGAAAACAACGAAGACCUUGAAAAGACUCUAAAGCUGGAUGAGGAAACAUUAACAAAAACAAUAACCCAGUAUAGUAAAGAGCUUAAUGUUCUGAUGGAUGAGAAUACAAUGCUCAAUUUUGAGCUAGAGAAGGAAAAACAAAGCAAGUCAAGACUGGAAGCAGAAAUGGAAUCAUACCGUUGUGGACUGGCUGCUGCCCUAUGUGAUCAUGAUCAAUGUCAGUCAUCAAAAAGAGACCUACAGCUUGCUUUCCAGAGCACAGUGAAUGAAUGGUGUCAUUUACUAGAAAAUAGGUAUUCUCACAUUCAGAUUCUUUCUCAGCAACUUUCUAAAGCUGAGAGUACAUCCAGUGGCCUGGAAACUGAGCUCCGUUAUGAAAGAGAGGCUCUCAAAGAAAAGACGUUGGGUAUAGAACACCUGCAAGGAGUCCUAAGCCAAACACAGUGUCGAUUGAAGGACAUUGAACACAUGUACCAAAAUGACCAACGAAUUUGGGAGAAAUACGUGAGAAAGCAGCAAUCUGUAGAGGAUGGACUAUUUCAACUACAAAGCCAAAAUCUGUUAAUUCAACAGCAAUGUAAUGAUGCUCACAAGAAAGCUGACAAUUGGGAAAAAACAAUAAUUAAUAUCCAAGCCAAAUGUGAAGAUACCAAAUGUGAAGAUACUGUAGAAGAACUUCAAGCUGACUGUAGAAAGCUAGAAGAGAACAAUAAGAGGUUGAUGAAGGAAUGCACUCUUUUAAAAGAAAGACAAUGCCAAUAUGAAAAAGAGAAAGAAGAAGGAGAAGUAGUCGUGAGACAGCUUCAACGAGAAGUGGGUGAUGCCCUGAACAAACAAUUGCUGUCAGAAGCUAUGCUAGAGAUUUCAUCACAACAUCGUGUUAAUUUAGAAGAUGAGACACGAAAUUCAAAAAAGAAAUUAGGCCAGAUGAGAAGUCAAUUGCAAGAAAUGCAGGAUCAAUGCACAGAGACUCCAAGAUGUGCUGAGGAGAUGUCAGACCACGUGCAAAAGCUUAAAAUAGAAAAUGCCAUGUUAAAAAUUAGAAUGAAAAAGCGAGCGGACAAAAUUGAGCAGCUUCAGAAAAUUUUGAUGCAGCAGGUGUACAAGGAAACAUAACUGCAGAAGUAGAUGAAGAGUUACUGCACAUUUCUGUGUCAUCUACAUGCCAUGAAAGUCUUAAAAUCAAUUGUCAAUUUCUACAAAAUACCUGCUUGGAUUUGGACUGUGAUUGCAUUAUGUCAUGAGAAAGAAUGAACAUCUUAACUAUGAUGAGUCUCUCAACCUGUGAAUAAGACUUCAGUCAUAGACUUCUCAGCUGCCUUGAGGGAUUGGAUGAGCCUUGGCCAACUCUUGAAGGAAACAAUAAAAUCACUUUAAUAUGCUACUUUUCAUUUUGAAGUCAUUACAGUAUCAUUUGCAAAACUCAACAAGGAAAGAUGCCUGUGGAUGGCCGUGUUCUUGGAGUCACUGAGAUGAGGUGCUGCCUGCUUUCACCCAACCUGAUCUGGGGCUCAGACAGCUACAGGCCCGAGUGGCUGGGAGGUUUGGAGGGAACCAGGUUUAGCUGUGAUGAGAGCACCUUGCUGUGGGCUGGGAGGUGGGAGUGCAGGGCAGCCUGGGCUCCCCUGGCCCCAUACUCAGAUCAGCAAGUGCCCAGCGGAGGCCACAUGGCCCCAGCAUCAACCAGUGUAGGGUCUGUGGGUCCCAGCAUUUCCACAUCCUGAAAAGUGACACGUGAACUGUUUCCUAGGCAAGUUCUCUUCCACCAUGUUCUGGAUGAGGUCCGUGAGCUCCUUCCAGUUUCACAAAGAAUGUGCAGAAGGUGGAAAGAGUGAGGGACGCAGGCCCAGCUGCAGCUGCACUCAGGCCCCUCAGUCAUAAAGUCCGGGUGAGGGGCUGGAUAGGCGCUGACAGGAAAGCAGCCCCUGUUCCUCUUCCCUAGCCAGGUUCUCACAUGUCCCUGAGGAACUAGAGAGGAACGCCUCUGGGAAGCCCAGCCAGGGCCAACCGGAAGGGCCUUUGGGUGAAGUCUGACAUCCUACAUUAGUUUCUCUGGACCUGGUGAGAACCAGCCCCCAGGGGAAGGACUGUUUUGCCAGCACCAACUCUCCAGCUGGGCUGUUGGUUCCCAUUGCCUCCCGUCAUGGAUACAGAAAAGCAGCCAGGCUAUUCCAAGUGGAGUAAAUACAGAGCUGGCUGAGGCAGGGCCAGCUGAGGUGCAAACUCCAUGGGGUUUACUGUCACUCCGCCAGUCAUCUGUCCAGCAGGCCUCAGCUUCACACACAGGGAAACAGAAGGAAUGCAUCUACUCACUGGGCGUCACACUGCUCCCGCUCACAGCCACCGCCUGCAUCGAGGCAACAUGCAGGCGGGAGCUUGGUCCCAGGAGGUGUCUGUAAACUUAUGUCCUGGGGUGGGCCACUGCAGAUGGCCUGUCCUUGCCUUUUCAUCACCAAAUCCCCAUUUUUGGUGCUGACGCAGAUGUCCAGACGUUAAAAUCGCUGAUGUUUUCACAAGACCCACAAAGAGGGAGGGUCCAGGCACAUUUUUUCUUUCUGUAUCACCCUGGAAUUAUGGGCAAAUUUCCCCAAAAACCAUGUGUACUGUGAUUGUACGUACUGGGGUGGAUAUAUUAGACUAGGGGGCCGCAGAUGGGCGGGGAAAAUCUUUUAUGUGAGGUAUUCCUCUAAGCAAUUCUUGACAACUCUUCUCCUCCCUUCUGGAAGCUUCUGGCACUGGAUGUGGAGACAUGGCAUAUCAGGGGUGCAGGUCAAGACCACACGUGCUUGGCACAGUGCACAGAACUUGGCUGGGCUGUGGGUGAGUGAGCAUAUGCGGGAGGGCCCUUGGCUUUGGCCACCGAAUGCCCCUUGUUGGCUAGUCAGCCAGGACCCCUGCCCCUCCCACUCACACGUUAGGCAAGCUCUUCACAGAUCCUGCGUGU
This is an RNA transcript of Symphalangus syndactylus (siamang), 4981 nucleotides long. It is a transcript of the gene named ankyrin repeat domain-containing protein 62, with no coding region annotated. The record is from RefSeq and is a predicted model, not a curated record. NCBI's taxonomy places the organism in Eukaryota, Metazoa, Chordata, Mammalia, Primates, Hylobatidae.